Molecule: ribosomal RNA, 253 nt
Filed under: uncultured bacterium
Lineage: Bacteria
Description: partial 16S ribosomal RNA
Rfam family: Bacterial small subunit ribosomal RNA
Source: RNAcentral
UACGGGGGGGGGCAAGCGUUGUUCGGAAUUACUGGGCGUAAAGGCUGGUAGGCGGCCAACUAAGUCGGAUGUGAAAUCCCCAGGCUUAACCUGGGAACUGCAUCCGAUACUGGUCGGCUUGAAUCCGGGAGAGGGAUGCAGAAUUCCAGGUGUAGCGGUGAAAUGCGUAGAUAUCUGGAGGAAUACCGGUGGCGAAGGCGGCAUCCUGGACCGGCAUUGACGCUGAACAGCGAAAGCUAGGGGAGCAAACGGG